CAGUAGCCACGGUAAUACGAAGGGUGCAAGCGUUACUCGGAAUUACUGGGCGUAAAGCGUGCGUAGGUGGUGGUUUAAGUCCGUUGUGAAAGCCCCGGGCUCAACCUGGGAAUGGCAAUGGAUACUGGCAAGCUAGAGUGUGUCAGAGGAUGGUGGAAUUCCCGGUGUAGCGGUGAAAUGCGUAGAGAUCGGGAGGAACAUCAGUGGCGAAGGCGGCCAUCUGGGACAACACUGACGCUGAGGCACGAAAGCGUGGGGAGCAAACAGGAUUAGAUACCCCUGUAGUCCCUGUCUCUUAUAC
This 301-nucleotide ribosomal RNA is filed under the name uncultured bacterium. Its description in RNAcentral is "partial 16S ribosomal RNA". It matches the Rfam family "Bacterial small subunit ribosomal RNA", at positions 509 to 807 of the family's 1533-position model. The record is from RNAcentral.